RNAcentral lists this long non-coding RNA (460 nucleotides) under Homo sapiens (human). RNAcentral's name for it is "HSALNT0238516". The record is from RNAcentral. Lineage: Eukaryota; Metazoa; Chordata; Mammalia; Primates; Hominidae.
AAAUUGAAGUUGAAGUAUAAGGAGAAUUUUUACAUCACCCAGGUUCUAAUUUGGAAGGUUUCUAACAGCCCUCUGUCCUCUUCUGGUGCUCACUGUGAAAGAAUUUGCACCCUGCAACACUAAGUGUUUGUGCUAGAAUCCACUUCUGAUGUUGGCUGCUCUGACACAGCUUCCAUUCGGAUGUCCUCUAUGCAGUUGCCUUGUCUAGAUGUAGGACACUGAGAAUUUACCACCCUUCCAGCAUUGACGUGCUCUCUAGGUGGCUCAAGAAUUCUUGGCUGUGUCUCCACCAGGCUUCAAGACCCUCCAUUAGCCUGGCUUUUGGACCUCUGUGGUUCCAGCCCUUGCUAGACACGGGUUUCUCUAAGAGAUCUGUAUUCUCCACAGUCUGUAUACAGAAAAGAUAGUCUCAAAUCUCCUCUGAUUUAGGGCCCUGAUAAAAAUUACUUGGUCUUCUACU